RNAcentral lists this ribosomal RNA (253 nucleotides) under uncultured bacterium. Its description in RNAcentral is "partial 16S ribosomal RNA". It matches the Rfam family "Bacterial small subunit ribosomal RNA", at positions 524 to 776 of the family's 1533-position model. The record is from RNAcentral.
UACGGAGGGUGCAAGCGUUAUCCGGAUUCACUGGGUUUAAAGGGUGCGUAGGAGGGCAGGUAAGUCAGUGGUGAAAUCUCCGAGCUUAACUUGGAAACUGCCGUUGAUACUAUCUGUCUUGAAUACCGUGGAGAUGAGCGGAAUAUGUCAUGUAGCGGUGAAAUGCUUAGAUAUGACAUAGAACACCAAGUGCGAAGGCAGCUUGCUAAACAGAUAUUGACGCUGAGGCACGAAAGCGUGGGGAUCAAACAGG